GCCUGGCCGCGCCGCGAUGACCCUGCAGCAACCUGGACCCGCUGACAGAGGCCGAAUCCUUCUCGCUGCUGGGUGGAGGGCGCAGCUGGCUCCUGAACUGAGGCCCAGUACGGGAUCCCGUUCUGUCUGCAAUAGCUGGCGCACUGGCCCGAGUAUUUCAUUGUCGUCGAGGCACCCGGCGAGGAGCUAGUGGGUUACAUAGUGGGUAAAGCAGAAGGCUCUAUGGCUAGGGAAGAAUGGCAUGGACAUGUUACUGCUCUCUCUCUUGCACCAGAAUUCCAACGGCUGGGUUUGGCUGCUAAACUGGUGGAACUUCUGGAAGAAAUUUCAGAAAAAAUGGAUGGAUUUUUCGUUGAUCUCUUUGUGAGGGUGUCAAACCAGGUUGCAGUAAAUAUGUAUAAGCAACUAGGCUACAGUGUGUACCAAACAGUACU
Neopsephotus bourkii (Bourke's parrot) is the source of this 434-nucleotide long non-coding RNA. RefSeq lists it as uncharacterized. Lineage: Eukaryota; Metazoa; Chordata; Aves; Psittaciformes; Psittacidae. The transcript is spliced from 3 exons. The record is from RefSeq and is a predicted model, not a curated record.